RNAcentral lists this ribosomal RNA (785 nucleotides) under uncultured bacterium. RNAcentral's name for it is "bacterial SSU rRNA". It matches the Rfam family "Bacterial small subunit ribosomal RNA", at positions 76 to 850 of the family's 1533-position model. The record is from RNAcentral.
CUCUUCGGGGAUGAUUAAACCGGCGCACGGGUGAGUAACACGUGAGUGACCUGCCUUUUAGACUGGAACAACUUACCGAAAGGUGAGCUAAUGCCGGAUGAGUUAUAUAAGUGCAUGUUUAUAUAGGAAAAGUUGGGGAGACCUGACGCUGAAAGAUGGACUCGCGUCCCAUUAGCUAGUUGGUAGGGUAAUGGCCUACCAAGGCGACGAUGGGUAGCCGGCCUGAGAGGGUGGCCGGCCACACUGGGACUGAGACACGGCCCAGACUCCUACGGGAGGCAGCAGUGGGGAAUUUUGCGCAAUGCUCGUAAGAGUGACGCAGCGACGCCGCGUGAAUGACGAAGGCCUUCGGGUCGUAAAGUUCUUUCGACAGGGAAGAAAAUGCCUAUAAGUAACUGUGUAUGUAUUGACGGUACCUGUAUAAGCAGCCCCGGCUAACUCCGUGCCAGCAGCCGCGGUAAUACGGAGGGGGCGAGCGUUGUUCGGAGUGACCGGGCGUAAAGAGCACGUAGGCGGUGUUGUAAGUCAUUAGUCAAAGACUAGAGCUCAACUUUAGUAAGGCUAGUGAUACUAUAAUACUAGAGUAUCAGAGAGGAUUGCAGAAUUCCUGGUGUAGCGGUGAAAUGCGUAGAUAUCAGGAGGAAUACCGUUAGCGAAGGCGGCAAUCUGGCUGGAAACUGACGCUGAGGUGCGAAAGCGUGGGUAGCAAACAGGAUUAGAUACCCUGGUAGUCCACGCUGUAAACGAUGGAUGCUAGGUGUUGGGCUUUUAAGUUCAGUGCCGCA